Molecule: ribosomal RNA, 309 nt
Filed under: uncultured bacterium
Lineage: Bacteria
Description: bacterial SSU rRNA
Rfam family: Bacterial small subunit ribosomal RNA
Source: RNAcentral
GAUGAACGCUAGCGGCAGGCUUAAUACAUGCAAGUCGAACGGUAACAGCAGAGUUUACUUUGGCUGACGAGUGGCGAACGGGUGAGUAACGCGUACACAAUCUACCUUUAAGUGAGGGAUAGCCUAUGGAAACGUAGAAUAAUACCUCAUGGUAUUUAAUUAUCGCAUGGUGAUUAGAUUAAAGAUUUAUUGCUUAGAGAUGAGUGUGCGUCCUAUUAGCUAGAUGGUAAGGUAACGGCUUACCAUGGCGACGAUAGGUAGGGGGCGUGAGAGCGUGGACCCCCACACGGGUACUGAGACACGGACCCG